UUCUUUCUGGCAGGGUGUGCACACUUUGACUCAUUUCAACAUUAUGAAAUAGCCAAAUUACAUGUGUUCAGCAUCAAUGUUCCAAAAGGUGGGUGUCACCUACUAAAUCUUGACAUUAUAUCGUUUUACAGGCAAAAGGGAUUUUGGAAGAGAGCCCAACUUUCCUUUGAUUAUUUUUUUGUGGAAAAUAUGUAUUUUUAGGAGUCAUUGCAUGAGAGAAUCAGGCAAAAUCUGGUACUUUCAUUGGAUCUGGCUGAAAGUUGCUUUUUUCAUGACUUCUUGUAGAAUUGAUGAUAUUAUGUAUCUGUUUCAAUUUCUCAUUCCAGAUGCUAAAAACCCUCUCCGCGAUUGCAACUGAAGAAUCUUGUAUGAUUUGCAAGGAUGACACAACCUUGUCCGCAAUUGCAUUCGAAGAUUCUUGUUUGAUUUCCAAGAAGAAGGCUUUCAGUUGUCCAGGCCAGGCCAGGUGACCAAUGACGAUGAUAGAUUGGGUUCGAUUCAAGCUAUACGCUUGGUGUAUUUGGUUAUCGUGACUGGCGACUUGAGUCUAUCUCAUCUCAUGUCCAAAGCGCGGUGGCUGGGUCCCAGGCAUGCUUGCCACUUUGUUCUGCGGUCCUCAUCUAAGUUUCGACGGUGAUGACAUGGACUUAGGUUCAAAGUACGUGUUCCCUUUGAGUCAUUGUGGUUGAUUGAUGGGGGGAAUAGACAGUUGCGUGUCGCUAGUCAUUCAAUUGGUCCCCUUGUUUUAGAGUGUUGGCGGGAUAAGUCUUACGACUGUUAACAAUAGUAAGCAAUAGCUGGCCAGCGAUCCCCUACCUGAUCUCGAGGGGGAUGGAAUGACUGGGGUUAAGACCUGUUGUUAACCUGCGGAAUUUCGUCGGAUGAAAUGUCAGGCGUGUCCGUGUGGGACUUGUGCUGAACCUGUUUAGUACAAAUAACGAAGACAUUGGGCUCUUUGGAUAACAACAGUGUUCUUCACCUCCUUGUGCCUCACAAAGCUAAUAAUAUACACCCCCUGAAAUCGACAAGACGGCGAUGAAGAAGGAGAGCCGGCCUCCAACUCGUCAGCCGAGAAGACACUGGAUGGACCCCAAGAAGAUGUUGCUGCCAAUGUUGGAGCCAUACAGGGCAGCCCGAGCCAACAUUGUACAAGGGCCACAAGGACAAGGGACACAAGGACAUGAAGGACACAGGGACAAGGGACACAGGGACAAGGGACACAAAAGACGAUGUUGCAGUCUACAGGCCCUCUGCAGAUUGAGAUGAUGGCUGUCGAGAAGAUCCAACCACUCAACCACAGUCUACAAUUCGUGCUAUGGUAGAUGUGACGGAGCAACUGCAGAAUAACCGGGACACUCUGUGCUAAAUGAUAGGAAUGUGUACAUAAUGUACAGAGGGACAGAGUGUACAUAAUGAACAGAGCUACUACUGUCCCGGCUAUUCUGCAGUUAGGCCGAUGUGACUCUCAACGAUUUUGGAUGACAAAGGAAUCCAAUGCAUAUAUGUCGCUCACAGAUACGGGCAGACGACGGAGAUUCGAGUGGAUUCAGUGGAUCGAAUGGUUGCGCUGAGGGAUAUCCAUGUGCAGGAGUGAUGAACCACAGUUCAGCAAACGAUGCCUUGACAGACCAAUUCAAGGAGAACCUUCGCUAAGAUGAAGAAGGGAACGUGUUUACUGUGUGGAUGGGAAGGACACUUAAAUGUCCGUCAUUCUAAUAGACUAUUAUGACAAUAUUCUAAUUGACUAGAAUGACAAUCUUAACUCGAAAGGGACUCUCUGGACUUACAGAAAGCUACGGACAAAGAGCCCUGACAUGAUACCCUGCAGCCACCAUGAGGACAGCCUAUCUCAUACCUACGGAAGGAUGCCAUCACACGCAUGAUGAGCCGUCCCACAGAAGGGAGAAGGAUGUUGUUGACCCAGCACAUCCCAACCAUGCUCCCAUCGCCGUCAAGUAACAGAACGACGGUUAGAUUGUAUUUUGUCACCGUAGGCUUUAUCGUUUUAUCAAAAUAUCUGAUUGAAAGGUGAUUUAAUGAAAAUUCAAAUUUUUCUGAUGGUGAGAAGGCAAAUAUUUACUCUGCUUAUGACAAGCAUAGAUUGUUUUAAUCUAUGUUUGGUUAUGAUCAUGACUUGUGCCAUGGUUCAAAAUCUUACACUUUUCAAAGAAGGGAUUGAAAUUAUCAUUAUGGCUUGUUUAUGGCUAACAAGGGAGCCAAUGAUAAGUCGCUCCAGAACCCAAACAAAAUAAUUUUCAAGAUAAGUUUUGUUCUUAAGAUAAGAAGGAAUAACAAUUUGGGGGAUGGGUUGUUUGUGGCUACCAGAGAAGCCAACAGCUGCCAGAUGAGGACCCUGAAAUUCUUUUCAGGCAAAAGUUAUUUGUAUGCUUAAAAAUCACAGAAUUCAUCAGAUAUUUACUGGUAUAUCCAUCACUUUUGACAUGGGGUCCAUGUGUUCUUGUUUCGCUGACCCCACGAAACAAGAACACAUGUGUCUGAUGGAACUGUAGGCCUUUCAUACUGUUUCUCAAUCUCAUCAGUACCACAGAAUCAACUGACAUGGCCUGGGCUCUGAUGCCCAUGACCUUUCAUCACACUGGCUGGUUCAGUUGCUCAAUACAUGUACUAUCAUGUUCGAGACAAAUGACCAACAGUGAAUUGUUGAAUUUGAAUUUCCUCCUUGAAGAAAUACCAAAACAUCUUUCCAGUUGAACUAAAACAGUCAGAUUUAAAACUCUCACUGUUUUAUUCGAAAUUUAAAGACUGAUCCUUCCCUAGUGGUCACACUGUGAGCCGUUGUCAAAGCAUGUCAUUCGACAAUGGUGGCAUGCAUGCAUGUUUUGUUAUGGCUUACCAGGGACCCCAAAUUGUUGAUGAUGAUGUUGUCCAUGGGUACAUCACCUUGGGCAAUGAGUGAUCACAAUGGUUCCUUUAUGACAAUUUUUUACAUGAUACUGAAUUGAUUGAGAAAAGUGUAGCUUAAAAACGUCAACUUUUAGACGUUUUAAAACUUUUGUCCUGUAUGAAUGUAUUUGUAAAUCUUGCAUGUAAAUAUUUUGUAAAAUGUCUAAUGAGAUCUAGACUCCAUGACUUGGCAUAAGUAUUGCAAAGCCAACUUUUAAUCUUUGCCCUGUCGAGGUCACCUCUUUUGUCAUGCAAACGACAUGUCAUAACUGCUCCCUUUGUUAUGCUAAGUGGCAGCCAGCUCUGUCCAGUGGCCAUGACAAAUGUGGUUCCUUUGUUAUUCAAAUCAUCAGCAGUGACCAAAUCUAUUGUAAGCUCACAUGGCUCACCUGAAGGCAUGAACAAUAGGUUUUAAUACAAUAGCUAUUCAUGUAUUAUAAACAUGAUGAAUGCAUGGAGAGGUUUAGUGCUAACUCAAACCAUUGUGGUGGAGUACAUGUAGUUGAGUCUAUUGUUUUUUAUCUCAAUUUAGCAUUGUGUUGCAAGGACACUUAUCAGUGUUUCUUUGUGACAUCUUGUAAAGAAGUUGACCACGUCUUAAAGGGAUAGAAAAACUAUCAUAUCUCCCGGUCCUCUUCUUGUAUUGGGCUUUCGGAGUGGUGCAGCCAAAAAAUAAUGUACUACGAUCAUUGUAUGAACUAAAAUAAACAUAAGCACCUGUCACCUGUGUGAUGGAGAUGGCGACUCCCUCCGACUGCGUAGGUUUUCUCCCGGUAUGCGGGUUUCCUCCUACACUACAUUCCAAAUCGUCAUCUGUUUUCUUUGUAAUGUACAGCAAUAAAGUUUUUUUGAAAGAGAAA
This is a long non-coding RNA of Lineus longissimus, 3764 nucleotides long. RefSeq lists it as uncharacterized. The record is from RefSeq and is a predicted model, not a curated record. The transcript has 7 exons. NCBI's taxonomy places the organism in Eukaryota, Metazoa, Nemertea, Pilidiophora, Heteronemertea, Lineidae.